GUGAGCGAGAAGAGUAGUGGCAGUUGGCAUGUCGCGCUGUAUCUGGACAGGCGAGAGAGAGCUUUCGCAACGGCGGCGGAUGUCACAGUCAUGUCUGCAGAGUGGGUGUCACAAGAAGUGGGGAGAGACACAUCGGACACCCGACAUCCACUCCCCUCUCGCUCAGCGGAGCUUUCGUUGGACUCUCUCUCCUCCGAGUGACAAAACAGUGAAAAGUCCCAUAGGAGACAACGCCGCACAACACAGAGACACAGAGCACAGCGACUGCGGCUGUGUGUUGGGCACGAGAGCGGGAGAGAACGACACACGACGGAUACAGAGUGGGACGUCACCAAUUGGAGACAUCUCUUGGUGUGAUACUCAAGUUUGGUGCGACGACGUGAGACAAGCGAUAGCCAUUGUGUGACUGUAAAACAGGGAUGGCAUAUCGAUAAAUCCCCACCAAAUUUUUAUCCGGGCACUGCUUCUCAUGGCAACUUCUUCCGCUUUUUGCCGCCAAUACUGGACGAUGGACAGUUUGAGUGUAGGCUCGAAAUUAAAUCUAUUAAGUGUUUAGUUAUGGACGAUAAAAAGACGAG
This is a long non-coding RNA of Phlebotomus argentipes, 578 nucleotides long. RefSeq lists it as uncharacterized. The transcript has 3 exons. NCBI's taxonomy places the organism in Eukaryota, Metazoa, Arthropoda, Insecta, Diptera, Psychodidae. The record is from RefSeq and is a predicted model, not a curated record.